This is a long non-coding RNA of Ictidomys tridecemlineatus (thirteen-lined ground squirrel), 2633 nucleotides long. RefSeq lists it as uncharacterized. NCBI's taxonomy places the organism in Eukaryota, Metazoa, Chordata, Mammalia, Rodentia, Sciuridae. The record is from RefSeq and is a predicted model, not a curated record.
GUUCCCGGAGGUGACGGCAGCUGGGGUGGAGCCAGGCCCUUCUCUGGACAGCGACCAUCCGAGCUGGCUCCGGGGGGCAUCUCCUGUGGCAUCUGAAAGACUUGGCCUUUCAAUUCAUUGCUCCAACACAGACUUGCUGUGUAACCCUGGGUAAGGUCCAUUGGCACCAGCUGCAAGAGGACAGUCUGGUCUGCUAGGCGGCUAAGGUGACUGAGCAGUAGCCAAGGAAAUGAGUGGAAGCAAUGAGAGCAAUUCUGGGGACGUCACCUCCAGAGAUGGAGGAACACGCAUUCCAACGAACGCAAAAAUCUUAAUAGGACAGAAGCAUGCAGAAUCCAAAAGCCUGGUCAAAGAAAAAUACAUCCUGCUUCAGGGGAGUUCGUUCCAGGACACAAAGGCUAACGGGAAAUCUGCUAAUGCAGCUCCACAUAGCAGUAGCUAGGAGGAGGAAGAUCAAAUGGUUUUUGCUCUAACUCAACAACCACUUUAGAUUUUUAAGAUGUUGAUAACUGGACUGGAUAUGUUCUUGACAUUGUAAAACACUGGCUUUGACCUCAAAGAUGGCACCUGGUUGGAUGGGGGACUGAGAGGGUUAGGUUUCUGAGCCAAUUCAGCUUGCCAGGCCCAACACUAAUCUAAGUCUGGCCAGAAGGGUGUCUUGUGGGUGUGGUGAACAUCUAUAGUCAGGUACCUUAAGUAACAGAGUUUGUCUUCUAUCAUCUGGGUGGGCCUCAUCUAAUCCACUGAAAAACCUUAAGAGCAAGACUGAGAUGUUUUUCCUUGGAAGAGAAAAUUCUGCUUCAGGCUGCAGCAGCAGCACCUGCCUGAGAUCCCAGCCGGCCCUGCCAUCAUGCAAGCCAACUCCUUGAAAUAAACUUCUUAGGUGCACGUGUUCUACUGGUUCCGCUUCUCUGGAGGAGCUGCCUGGUGCAGGCAGGUGAGGGGCAUUCCCAGGGAGGUCGGCUGCCUCGGCCAGGCAAGCACACAUCAAACUGCAAGGGACCUCCCCAGGGCUGAGGAUUCUGGGUAAAGCUGAAAGCAGUCCAUCCUAAAAUCUAGCAGUUCCAUUUUUAGAUGGUUAUUAGAGAAACUUCUGUGUAUGUGUGCAGAGAUGUUUGUUAUUGUACUGUUCAUGAUAAAUAGUAAAACACUAAAGAAAGAGUCUAACAGCUCAUAGUAGGGACUAGGGGACUGGAUGGCUAGACCAGGGGAAAUAUGACCCUUAAAAAAAGAAUAAAUGGAGACUUAGAGCUACCCAUGUGGGUGAUGAUCACUGGUAUGCAUCAGAUCACCCAGAGUGUUUGUUAAAGCCCAGGGCCAGGCCUCAGCCCUUGAGUCGCUGACUCAGGUCAUCUGGGGCAGAGUCUGUGAAAUUCUAACAAGUUGCCGGAUGAUGCUGAGAUCGCCAGUUCAGGGGACACACUUGGAGUGGUGCAGAUGAACACAAACUUCAAAAAUACAAUGUAAUGUUGCAAAAUGAUGUGCACUCAGUAUCACUGGUGUUAAUCUGUUAUGUCGGAAAACAUACUGUAUCUUGUUUAUGGAUAUACAUGUGUAGCAAAUAAACUAAAGUGGUGACCUCUAGGGUGGGAGAGAGAAUAAGUACAUUUCAGAGGAUGUGGCAGAGAUACUGCCACUAAAUUCCUCAAAUCCCAAGCAGUUUCCCCAGGCCCUCAGGCCUCAGGAGGGCAAGAGUCUCCCAGAUUGCCGUGCUGUUAGGUGAGGCCUCCUAACUGAGUCCUGGGCAACAGGGGAUCGAGGGUGCAGUGGAUCUGCCUUACUUCCUGGUGCCUAAAACUUUCCAGGCACUCCUCUGAGUUCCCCUUCCUUAUUGCCCUCCUUGGUGCGAAGCUUCCUAUGCCCCUUUCGACUCAAAGUGUGGCCCAUGGGCCAGUUAUAUCAGCAUCACCAGGGAGUUUGUUAGAAAUCAGAAUUGCAGAGGGAGGCCCAGGAAUCAGUGUGAACAACUCACCAGAUGAUUUUUAUGUACAUUUAAAUUUGAAAAACAGGGUCCCAGGGGAGUCCUAGGGGAUGGUGGUUUCACUCCCUAGGGAAGCCUGGAUCCCUAAAUGACUGCAUGGAGCAGUCGGAGCAUCUUGGCUGACUUGCACUAGACUAUGGUGACAAGGCAGUAAAGCACUGGCCUCUGCCAUUGAGACUCUGAUGUUCUUUGGCAACAGUACGUGGUUUCCCCUAAUUAAUACCGAAGGGAAACAACUAAUACAGGGGGUAUUAACUGUAUUAAUUAACAAUUAAUACAGUGAGGCCAGUUGGGUGGGGUUUAAGCUCUUUAAAAGAGGAAAUGUAGGUAAGAACAACAAGAGUUAUAGGUACAGAGAUCUAUUAUCUAUCCUUUUCAGCACAUUUGUAAUAUUUUAUAACUUAAAAAUAUUACAAAGUAAUCUAGAAAUGAAAAAUCUCAGAUUUAUACAGGUGACCGACCAGGGACAAAUGGAACAAAGAGGGUGUUAUGGUUUGGAUGCGAGAUGUCCCCCAGAAGCUCACAUGUAAGACCAUGCAGGAAGGUUCAGGGGAGAAAUAACUGGGUUGUAAGACUCUAGACCCAACCAGUGAUUUAAUCCCCUGAUAGGGAUUAAGUGAGUGUCACUGAAGAGGUGGGUGUGGCUGGAGGA